This 497-nucleotide ribosomal RNA is filed under the name uncultured bacterium. Its description in RNAcentral is "partial 16S ribosomal RNA". It matches the Rfam family "Bacterial small subunit ribosomal RNA", at positions 28 to 507 of the family's 1533-position model. The record is from RNAcentral.
GAUGAACGCUGGCGGCGUGCCUAAUACAUGCAAGUCGAGCGAACAGACGAGGAGCUUGCUCCUCUGACGUUAGCGGCGGACGGGUGAGUAACACGUGGAUAACCUACCUAUAAGACUGGGAUAACUUCGGGAAACCGGAGCUAAUACCGGAUAAUAUAUUGAACCGUAUGGUUCAAUAGUGAAAGACGGUUUUGCUGUCACUUAUAGAUGGAUCCGCGCCGCAUUAGCUAGUUGGUAAGGUAACGGCUUACCAAGGCGACGAUGCGUAGCCGACCUGAGAGGGUGAUCGGCCACACUGGAACUGAGACACGGUCCAGACUCCUACGGGAGGCAGCAGUAGGGAAUCUUCCGCAAUGGGCGAAAGCCUGACGGAGCAACGCCGCGUGAGUGAUGAAGGUCUUCGGAUCGUAAAACUCUGUUAUUAGGGAAGAACAAAUGCGUAAGUAACUAUGCACGUCUUGACGGUACCUAAUCAGAAAGCCACGGCUAACUACGUG